CGUAUUUAUUACCAAUUGUUACUGUGAAGUCGUAUAAUCUUAUGCUUUACUCGAACCUUUAGCGAAACCUUUAGCUCGAAUAGUCCCCACACGUAGUUAUCGGGUCUUACCCGGACAAAAUCUCCACACGUAGUCAUCGAGUCUUACCCGGACAUAAUCUCCACACAUAGUCAUCGGGUCUUACCCGGAAUAUAUUUCCAAGUUUCAUGUACAUUUAAUCACAUGUUACAACAUUCACAUCGACUGUCAUAUUUGUAAUUCAUUUGCCUCAUCAAAUAUCUAAUAAUACACACCUUUCACAUUUGGUCAUUCGGCCAUCAUAUACACACAUCUCCUACAUAUUUCACACUAGCCAUUCGGCUUUACCACAUAUACAUAUCUCAUACAUAUUUCACACUAGCCAUUCGGCUUUACCACAUAUACAUAUCCCAUUCAUAUUUCACACUAGCCAUUCGGCUUUACCACAUAUACAUAUCGCAUACAUAUUUCACAUUAGCCAUUCGGCUUUACCACAUAUACAUAUCUCAUACAUAUUUCACAUUAGCCAUUCGGCUUUACCAAAUAUACAUAUCUCAUACAUAUUUCACAUUAGCCAUUCGGCUUUACCACAUAUACAUAUCUCAUAUAUAAUUCACACUAGCCAUUCGGCUUUACCACAUAUACAUAUCUCAUACAUAUUUCACAUUAGCCAUUCGGCUUUACCACAUAUACAUAUCUCUUAUAUAUUUCACAUUAGCCAUUCGGCUUUACCACAUAUAAGUAUCUCUUAUAUAUUUAUCUUGUACAUCAAUUUCAGCAAUAGCUUAUAAGCAGCUCAAAUAGUUUCAUCAAUGUUUACAACAAAUUCACAUAUUCACUACAAGCUGUUUUCCUGAGCAAUAGUCACUAAAUUAUUUAUAACUGGAGCUACAAAACUCAAAAUCAAUUGCCGUUAAUUUUCCCUGAAUAUAGACUCAUAUAUCUUCCAUCAUAAAAUUUUCAGAAUUUUAGGUUUGGCCAAUCAAUACCAGAUUUUUCUUAAAAUUUCCCCUAUUUCACUGUUUGACUAAUCUGACCACUCUUCACUACGAAUCAAAUUUAUCAUUGUACAGAAUUCAAAAUAUGUUCUAUUUGAUUUCAUUUGAAACUAGACUUAUUAAGGAGUCUAAGAAUAUAAAUUUUAUCUUAUAACCAUUUUUGUACAAAUUAUAAUGAUUUUCUAAAAACAGAACAGGGGAUUUCAGAGUCAUUUUGACACUGUCUCACACAACUUUAAAUAUCUCUUUAUAGAAAAUUUGUUUGCUUCCACGGUCUCUUUUAUAAGAAACUAGACUAAUUAAGCUUUGAUUACAUAUUUUAUUCAGCCUAUAAUUCCACACCAACAAUUGAUAGUGAUUUUCUAAAUUCACGUUACUGCUGCUGUCCUAAGCAAAUUAUUACAAUUUGCUCUUAAAUUUCCAAGUCCAAACACUUAUGAACUUACCAUUUGAGUUUAAGACAUAUCAUGGCCACAUCAUAUCUUAUUAAAUCGAUUCAUUAUUUCCUAUUAUGAUUGAAUUUACUCAACGUUUAAUCACUUAAAACUUACCUCGGAAGUUGUCGAAUGAUUAUGACGGCUCUUCGAUCACUUUUUCCUUUCCCUUAUCAAACUUUGAUCCUCUAGGCUCUUGAGCUAAAUCAAACAAAUUUACUCCUCAAUCAAACACAUACAUACGGCAACCAUAUACAUUUCAAAAACCAAUUCAUUCGUAUCAUUUGUCCAUAUAUUAGCUUUUAUCAUUUUUGGUCAUUAGAGCGACCUAUUUAACUUUCAAGCAUUCAUUUCUAAUUUUAAUUAAACAAUGCCGAAUGCCAUUAACUACUAAUGCCACACACACACAUAUGCAUAAAAUUCAUCCAUACAUAACCUAUAGCUCAUUCGGUCAUUCAUCUCUCAAACCUAUCAAAGCUUCAUAUCAAACUUCCCUGGCCGAAUACACAUAUAGGCACAUAAUGCACAUUUAGCAUUUUUAUUUACUUUAUGAUACAUUCGGCCUUGGCAUAAUUUCAUUAAAAAUCCCUAUUAGCCACUUCACCAAUCAAUUAUAUCAUCUACUUAAUAUUUCAUAACUUAUCAUGCUAGCUGAAUAUUAUUUAUUCAAGUUCAUCAUCUUCAUAUUCGGCAUUAGCAUCAAUUAUAAUAGCCAAUUCUUCCCACUUUGAAUCUAUGCAUCCAUUUAAUCAUAGUUUGUUCAAGCACUCAUACAACAAGAUUCAUCCAAUUUAACAAGAAACAAAAACUUUAUUCCUCCAUAGCUACAAUGGCCGAAAGAUCUAGACAUCUCAAUACCGAAAUUUCUAACAUGGGUUGCCUAAAGAAUUUGGUAGGGAGUUCAAAUUUAUCUAACAUUUCAAGUAACUUAACACAUCUAUAUAGCUAACAUGCUAGCAGUAUCAAGGCAUCAACUAAAAUUUUGAAGCCUCUUAGCCGAAUCCUAACUCUCCAACAACUCCAAUUUCAUCCAUGAGAUAAAUAGAAGUAGGCUAACCCUCCAAAGGAUGUGUAAACCUCCAAAAGCAACAUUGAACAUACCUUAAUCUCAAGAACCACCUUGGCCGAACUUCCCCUCUUCUUCUUCCUUCAAUUCACGGCAAUGGAGGAGCAACCUAGCUAAUUUUUUGUUUCUCCCCUACUAACCACUAUUAUUUUAUUACCCACGUUCUUUAUUUUAUUAUUUCUAACAUAAAACACUAACUUAAAAUGUUUAUAAUAUAUUUUAACCCAUAGCAUGGCCAACCACUACUUGUCAUAGGUGGAAAUUUGACAUGCAAACCCAUUAUUUUCAUAACAUGCACUAAUAGAUCCUUAUAGAUUACCCCAUCACAUUUCAAAGUGUCACACAUAAGUCCUAUUAACUAAAUUCACAUGCAAUUGACCAAAUCGAAGCUCAAAACUUUCACACACUCAUAUUCACAUAUUUUAGACAAUAAAUAUUAUACUCAAAUACUUCGGUGACUCGUCCCGAAACCACUUUCCGACUAGGGUCACAUUAGGGGUGUCACAACUCUUCCCCCCUUUAGGGAUUUUCGUCCCCGAAAAUUUCUACCGAUGCCUAGUUUAGGAUAACGUCCUCUUAUUGAAUUAUAUCCAUAUAAAUAUUAGCUCAUCGAUAGCAAUUGUAAUUCAUUACUGAUUUCGGAUCGAUCUAUAUAAUCAUUUUCUUAUCUUAAAACAAUUACAUAAACAUUUCUACAAGUAUGCACAUAUAUCUCAUUUUCUUGAUUUCAUAAGCAAUAAUCACUUAAUUUAAUUCACAAAUGCAUUUCAAACACAUAUUAAGCACAUAUUAACAUGUAUAAUUCAUACUAUCAACCCACAUAUUUGUAACCCACAUUUUCAUUCAUGUAUAAGCUGUAACCUGACCGAAAGUACACAUAUACUCAAACACCCCAAUAAACAUCCUUUAUAACUCCAUCAUAUCUCACUAUUCAACUUAACCUAUUUCCAAUAGAAAAUCAACUUCCACAUACCUGAACAUUGAAUUCAUUUAGCACAUUCAAUCACCGUUAACGAUACCCGUAUACAAUCGAUUUGGCAUAAAGCCUCAUAUAUUAUACCGGCAUGGGAUUUAUUUUAGCACAUAACCCAUAUAUCCAAAAUUAUCAGCAUUCAUCAAAAAUUCUUACAGACUUUUAAAUGUCGAACUUAAUCGAAAUAAUUUCUUGAACAUGAUUAACAAAAAUAGGGGUCAUUUAGCAAUAGCACAUAUGACUUCAUAUACCAAGCAUUCCAUAAACUAAAUCUGUAACACAUUUAUAUCAUGAAUUCAUUUCUUAACAACAUAUCCACCAUCUUAAAUCAAUGCCUUCGUUCCAUACGAGGUCUUACAUGAAUCUUGUUUUACUCACUUAAUGUCUACUGACCGAUCUCGCACACAUAGUGCUCGGUUGAAGAACUCGCACUCUCAGUGCCUCUAAUCAUUUGCACAUAUAGUGCCCCUAUUCAUUUGUUGUUACACGUUGAAAUGACUUAACCAAGUCUAUAAACAUCAUGUAUGUACACUUUUAAACAUAUCCUUUCAUUUAAAUUUGAAUUCGUAUAGUAAUGAACACUUAAACUUUGCUCAAAUUACCAGCACGAAGCCUACUAGGCACGGAGGCCCGAAUGCACAUCACCAGCAUGAUUGCUCUUCGGGACCUAGCCCGGAUAUAACACCAGCACGAAUGCUCUUCGGGACUUAGCCCGGAUAUAACACCAGCACGAAUGCUCUUCGGGACUUAGCCCGGAUAUAACACCAGCACGAAUGCUCUUCGGGACUUAGCCCGGAUAUAACAUCAGCACGAAUGCUCUUCGGGACUUAGCCCAGACAUAACAUCAGCACGAAUGCUCUUUAGGAAUUAGCCCGGACAUAACACCAGCACGAAUGCUCUUCGGGACUUAGCCCGGCUAUAUAACUCUCAAUUCUCAUGUACAUAUACAUAUAUAACAAUACACAUUAGUAUAUCAUUUACAUUACUUGAAUACAAACACAACAUGCUUAUCGACCAUUCAACUUUCAGUUCCAUAGCCACAUACAAAGAUCACAUUUAUAGUCGUAACACUCUUUCAAAAUUGCAUCACUUAUACCCUUAUAAUUCAAUCCAAAUUAAAAUUCAAAUACGAGUACAUGAUACGUACCUGAUCAACUUAAUGAUUUAAGCAUAUCCAAGUGAAGUUAUAUCGCAAAUUCUCAUAGUCAGAAGCUUGCUACAGCUCGAUCGGGAUGAAAAUUCAUUACAAUACAACAAACACAUUUUAAUAGUCAAAAAUCAUCACACUAUCACUUUAUCACUUUAUGGCAUGUAUAAAUAGACUCACGCGUGCUACGUUAGUCCUAGAAUCGACUAAACCGUAGCUCUGAUACCAAUAAAAUGUAACACUCCUAUCCCGUAUCCGUCGCCGGAAUAGGUAAAGGGGUAUUACCAGACUUGAAACUCAUAUCCGAACAGUAAAAAUUUUGAAUAUAUAUUUUUUCUUUUUUUUUAGAGAACGUUCCUUUAGGUAAAUACUAAAGACAGUCAGGGAUACAAUUUAACUGCUAUAAGUACACAUUCAAAAGAUGCCAUUUUCGCAUGGCUUAUAUACAUUAACCAAAAUAUUCUUCGGCCACUGGUCUAUUCUUUACAUGCCAUAAAAUAUUUCAAAACAUAACAGUAACAAGCAGUGGAUAGUGAUUGUGUGACUAGUUGCUGACGAUCCCCGAGCCUGUAGCUUCCAAAUGAGAUCUAUAAAACAGAGGAAACAAAGUAAACGGAGUAAGCAUUACAAUGCUUAGCAAGUUUUAAGCAGUGUCAACAGAUAACAAUCAGAUUAUAACAUAGUUGUUCGUAUUUUUAUUUCACUCUUCCUUCGGGCAUACCAUCCCUUUACCGAAUAUGCCCAUCUCAUCAUAUAUAAUAGGCAGAUAAAUUCUCACUUGAUAGUGAUCUCUUAUAAACAUAGGUAUAUUUCAUAUUUUCACCUAACUUUCCACAUUGACCAAGCGCACAAUAAUCAUAGAACAGUCUUAUUGGUUUACUCACAUAUGCAUCACAUAACGACCUUGUUAUUUAGUCCAAAUCAAGCUUAAAUAUAAUCUCAAAAUACAUACCUGACCAGCUUAACGCAUUGAACGUAUUUAUUACGAAUUAUUACUGUGAAGUCGUAUAAUCUUAUGCUUUACUCGAACCUUUAGUGAAACCUUUAGCUCGAAUAGUCCCCACACGUAGUUAUCGGGUCUUACCCGGACAAAAUCUCCACACGUAGUCAUCGGGUCUUACCCGGACAUAAUCUCCACACGUAGUCAUCAGGUCUUACCCGGAAUAUAUUUCCAAGUUUCAUGUACAUUUAAUCACAUGUUACAACAUUCACAUCGACUGUCAUAUUUGUAAUUCGUUUGCCUCAUCAAAUAUCUAAU
RNAcentral lists this long non-coding RNA (5894 nucleotides) under Gossypium barbadense (sea-island cotton). RNAcentral describes it as "long non-coding RNA (GBAR_LNC000511)". Lineage: Eukaryota; Viridiplantae; Streptophyta; Magnoliopsida; Malvales; Malvaceae. The record is from RNAcentral.